This 440-nucleotide ribosomal RNA is filed under the name uncultured bacterium. RNAcentral's name for it is "partial 16S ribosomal RNA". It matches the Rfam family "Bacterial small subunit ribosomal RNA", at positions 338 to 795 of the family's 1533-position model. The record is from RNAcentral.
CCUACGGGCGACAGCAGUGAGGGAUAUUGGUCAAUGGGGGAAACCCUGAACCAGCAACGCCGCGUGAGGGAAGACGGUUUUCGGAUUGUAAACCUCUGUCAUCUGUGAAGAAAAUGAAGGUAGCAGAGGAGGAAGCUACGGCUAACUACGUGCCAGCAGCCGCGGUAAUACGUAGGGAGAAAGCGUUGUCCGGAUUUACUGGGUGUAAAGGGUGCGUAGGCGGGCCUGCAAGUCAGAUGUGAAAGCCAUGGGCUUAACCCGGGACGUUCAUUUGAAACUGUAGGGCUUGAGUGAAGUAGAGGCAAGCGGAAUUCCCGGUGUAGCGGUGAAAUGAGUAGAGAUAGGGAGGAAAACCAGUGGCGAAGGCGGCUUGCUGGUCUUUAACUGACGCUGAAGCACGAAAGCGUGGGGAGCAAACAGGAUUAGAUACCCUAGUAGUC